RNAcentral lists this ribosomal RNA (437 nucleotides) under uncultured bacterium. RNAcentral describes it as "bacterial SSU rRNA". It matches the Rfam family "Bacterial small subunit ribosomal RNA", at positions 958 to 1397 of the family's 1533-position model. The record is from RNAcentral.
AACGCGAAGAACCUUACCCAGGCUUGACAUGUUCCUGACAGCGGCAGAGAUGUCGUCUUCCGAAAGGACAGGAACACAGGUGCUGCAUGGCUGUCGUCAGCUCGUGCCGUGAGGUGUUGGGUUAAGUCCCGCAACGAGCGCAACCCUUAUCACUAGUUGCCAACAUUUAAGGUGGGAACUCUAGUGAGACUGCCUGGGUUAACCAGGAGGAAGGUGAGGAUGACGUCAAGUCAGCAUGGCCCUUAUGUCUGGGGCGACACACGUGCUACAAUGGCCGGUACACAAGGCAGCAAUACCGUAAGGUGGAGCAAAUCCCUAAAGCCGGUCUCAGUUCGGAUUGUAGUCUGCAACUCGACUACAUGAAGUUGGAAUUGCUAGUAAUGGUGCGUCAGCCACAGCGCCGUGAAUACGUUCCCGGGCUUGUACACACCGACAUA